UACGUAGGGGGCUAGUGUUGUCCGGAUUUACUGGGCGUAAAGGGCGCGUAGGCGGCCACCGCAAGUCGGUUGUGAAAUCUCUGGGCUUAACCCAGAAAGGUCAACCGAUACUGCGGGGCUAGAGUGCAGAAGGGGCAACUGGAAUUCUCGGUGUAGCGGUGAAAUGCGUAGAUAUCGAGAGGAACACCUGCGGCGAAGGCGGGUUGCUGGGCUGACACUGACGCUGAAGCGCGAAAGCUAGGGGAGCGAACGGG
This 254-nucleotide ribosomal RNA is filed under the name uncultured bacterium. RNAcentral's name for it is "partial 16S ribosomal RNA". It matches the Rfam family "Bacterial small subunit ribosomal RNA", at positions 524 to 776 of the family's 1533-position model. The record is from RNAcentral.